CCCCGAGCUUAACUUGGGAACUGCAUUUGAAACUGGCAAGCUAGAGUCUUGUAGAGGGGGGUAGAAUUCCAGGUGUAGCGGUGAAAUGCGUAGAGAUCUGGAGGAAUACCGGUGGCGAAGGCGGCCCCCUGGACAAAGACUGACGCUCAGGUGCGAAAGCGUGGGGAGCAAACAGGAUUAGAUACCCUGGUAGUCCACGCUGUAAACGAUGUCGACUUGGAGGUUGUGCCCUUGAGGCGUGGCUUCCGGAGCUAACGCGUUAAGUCGACCGCCUGGGGAGUACGGCCGCAAGGUUAAAACUCAAAUGAAUUGACGG
RNAcentral lists this ribosomal RNA (316 nucleotides) under uncultured bacterium. Its description in RNAcentral is "bacterial SSU rRNA". It matches the Rfam family "Bacterial small subunit ribosomal RNA", at positions 601 to 916 of the family's 1533-position model. The record is from RNAcentral.